GAAAUAUAAGAUAUAAGAAAAAGCUUCUAACUUUUAUUUUAGCGGUGAAACUCCGUUAAUAUUUCU
This 66-nucleotide transfer RNA is filed under the name Coomaniella dentata. RNAcentral's name for it is "tRNA-Ser". Lineage: Eukaryota; Metazoa; Arthropoda; Insecta; Coleoptera; Buprestidae. The record is from RNAcentral.